AGUGAACGCUGGCGGUAGGCCUAACACAUGCAAGUCGAACGGCAGCACAGUAAGAGCUUGCUCUUACGGGUGGCGAGUGGCGGGCGGGUGAGGAAUACAUCGGAAUCUACUUUUUCGUGGGGGAUAACGUAGGGAAACUUACGCUAAUACCGCAUACGACCUACGGGUGAAAGCAGGGGAUCUUCGGACCUUGCGCGAUUGAAUGAGCCGAUGUCGGAUUAGCUAGUUGGCGGGGUAAAGGCCCACCAAGGCGACGAUCCGUAGCUGGUCUGAGAGGAUGAUCAGCCACACUGGAACUGAGACACGGUCCAGACUCCUACGGGAGGCAGCAGUGGGGAAUAUUGGACAAUGGGCGCAAGCCUGAACCAGCCAUACCGCGUGGGUGAAGAAGGCCUUCGGGUUGUAAAGCCCUUUUGUUGGGAAAGAAAAGCAGCAGGUUAAUACCCCGCUGUUCUGACGGUACCCAAAGAAUAAGCACCGGCUAACUUCGUG
Molecule: ribosomal RNA, 492 nt
Filed under: uncultured bacterium
Lineage: Bacteria
Description: partial 16S ribosomal RNA
Rfam family: Bacterial small subunit ribosomal RNA
Source: RNAcentral